UACCCCACUAUGCUUAGCCAUAAACCAAGAUGUAACCAUUCGCCAGGGUACUACGAGCACAGCUUAAAACCCAAAGGACUUGGCGGUGCCUUAGACCCACCUAGAGGAGCCUGUUCUAUAACCGAUAACCCCCGUUAAACCUUACCAUCUCUUGUUUUACCCGCCUAUAUACCGCCGUCGUCAGCUUACCCUGUGAAGGCCCCAAAGUAAGCAAAAUGAACAAACCUCAAAACGUCAGGUCGAGGUGUAGCGAACGAGAUGGAAAGAAAUGGGCUACAUUUUCUGCAACAGAACACCACGAAUAGCGCCCUGAAAUAGGCACUUAAAGGAGGAUUUAGUAGUAAAAAGAAAACAAUGUGUUCUUUUGAACCUGGCUCUGAGGCGCGCACACACCGCC
RNAcentral lists this ribosomal RNA (397 nucleotides) under Paracanthopoma parva. RNAcentral describes it as "partial 12S ribosomal RNA". It matches the Rfam family "Bacterial small subunit ribosomal RNA", at positions 783 to 1394 of the family's 1533-position model. Lineage: Eukaryota; Metazoa; Chordata; Actinopteri; Siluriformes; Trichomycteridae. The record is from RNAcentral.